UAGUAGCAUGAAUAUCAUGCAGGAAUCAUUACACUAACCAGAUUAUGUGGCUUUAAGCACUGGAGUGGCUCAACAAGUAAAGGUGUUCACCUUAAGAAUGGACUGAGCUCUGUGGCCCAUAUUCCUGAGUUUAAGUCUGGGUAACAGCAUGCAAGGUAGUGAGAGGUGGCUUUGUGAGAAAGCUAUCAUCUUGGUUCAAAAUUCAGGUCACAGAGUCAAGAUGAUAGCUUGAGCAAAGAUGGAGGCCUGUUAAUUGGGAGAACCUGCAGAAUGAGGUACAGCUGGUCUGAAUGAGUAAUCAGCACUCAGAACUAGUGAGAAUCCACAUCCAGGGAAAGGAGUUGCUAGGAUAGGCUCUGUGUGUAUUUUAAUCAAUUACCUUAGUUAGCGUCUGGGCUACUUAAGAGGCUUACAGGAUCUUUUGAGGAAAUGGGGUUCAGUUUGUGUCUAUGCUCUACUCUGGAAGCUAGGAGAGUGAGACCUCUUGCUAGCAAUUGAUUGAACUGGUAGACUGGUUUGUGACAAUAUACUGUAGGAUAGGAUAUAGGAUUUAGGAUUAAGUUAAGUCUAAGAGUAAGGUUAGCCUUAUGUGUAAAGGGCUUUACUUGUGCUGUACAAGUGUGGCUGUGUGGUAAGUCAAGUGAAGAGAGCUUGAGGAAAAACUAGGAUCCCAGAGGGCUUUAGAAAGGUGGUGUACUGGCAGUGUUGGGGGUUGUGGUGAUUUGUGUCAUGUGCUGCUAAUGGACACAGGCUGAUGUUUCCCCAGCAGUGUCUUGGUCAUCACUGUGCCAGGGCUGGGAUUAUCAGGGCUGGUGUCAAUGGGUCCCUGGCCACUCCUGUAAGACGUUGUGGAGCCUGUGGCAUUGAGGGAUGAGAUGGUUGGCUGAAGAGAAGCUGGGCCCUUGCCAAGAAAAGGGAAGAAGAGCUGACUCAGCAGCUCAGGAAAGAAAUGUCAGAAUUACAGAAGCACCAACACAGGAAAGAAUUCAUCUACCAGACUUUAAUCAACCACAGAGCUUUGCAAAAGGAGGACCAGCACAUUCUUGAAGAAAUGCAAAAGGAAUACAGAAGAUAACUUAACAUAAUGAACAAGAACAAAGGAUAAUGAGCAGAAAGCGAACACUACUUUGGUGGUGUGCAGCAUAUACUGUAUACAGAAAUGAAGACUGGGCUCUGUGGAGGCGUUCUCUUUUACUCUCAGAAAGUGAAGUGCUCAUAGCACUUGUGCGAUACUUUAAUAAUGCAGUGUUAGGUCGUUAUCUCCAAAAGAUGUCAAUACCUAAAGGGCAGUUUUGCUGAUCACAGAAUGUGACAAAAUAUCACGGUGAAGGGUUUAAAUGUCAGAAUGUUUAGGUCUCAUUGUCUUAAUGGACAUUGCAUGAGAAAUACAAACAAAAUGAAUGCAAGCUGAAUGCAUAGUCUUCGAAACUGAAGUCCAGAGAAAUUCACGUAUGCUAACCUGGCCAUAAUACUGAAAACUGUU
Non-coding RNA from Lepisosteus oculatus (spotted gar), 1483 nucleotides. The record is from RefSeq and is a predicted model, not a curated record. Lineage: Eukaryota; Metazoa; Chordata; Actinopteri; Semionotiformes; Lepisosteidae.